UACAGAGGGUGCAGGCGUUAAUCGGAAUUACUGGGCGUAAAGCGCGCGUAGGUGGUUAGUUAAGUUGGAUGUGAAAUCCCCGGGCUCAACCUGGGAACUGCAUUCAAGACUGACUGACUAGAGUAUGGUAGAGGGUGGUGGAAUUUCCUGUGUAGCGGUGAAAUGCGUAGAUAUAGGAAGGAACACCAGUGGCGAAGGCGACCUCCUGGACUGAUACUGACACUGGGGUGCGAAAGCGUGGGGAGCAAACAGG
Molecule: ribosomal RNA, 253 nt
Filed under: uncultured bacterium
Lineage: Bacteria
Description: partial 16S ribosomal RNA
Rfam family: Bacterial small subunit ribosomal RNA
Source: RNAcentral